RNAcentral lists this ribosomal RNA (492 nucleotides) under uncultured bacterium. Its description in RNAcentral is "partial 16S ribosomal RNA". It matches the Rfam family "Bacterial small subunit ribosomal RNA", at positions 29 to 507 of the family's 1533-position model. The record is from RNAcentral.
AGUGAACGCUGGCGGUAGGCCUAACACAUGCAAGUCGAACGGCAGCACAGUAAGAGCUUGCUCUUACGGGUGGCGAGUGGCGGACGGGUGAGGAAUACAUCGGAAUCUACUUUUUCGUGGGGGAUAACGUAGGGAAACUUACGCUAAUACCGCAUACGACCUACGGGUGAAAGCAGGGGAUCUUCGGACCUUGCGCGAUUGAAUGAGCCGAUGUCGGAUUAGCUAGUUGGCGGGGUAAAGGCCCACCAAGGCGACGAUCCGUAGCUGGUCUGAGAGGAUGAUCAGCCAAACUGGAACUGAGACACGGUCCAGACUCCUACGGGAGGCAGCAGUUGGGAAUAUUGGACAAUGGGGGCAAGCCUGAUCCAGCCAUACCGCGUGGGUGAAGAAGGCCUUCGGGUUGUAAAGCCCUUUUGUUGGGAAAGAAAAGCAGCAGGUUAAUACCCCGCUGUUCUGACGGUACCCAAAGAAUAAGCACCGGCUAACUUCGUG